ACGUAGGGUGCAAGCGUUAAUCGGAAUUACUGGGCGUAAAGGGCGCGUAGGCGGUGUGUCAAGUCAGGCGUGAAAGCCCCGGGCUCAACCUGGGAACCGCGCUUGAGACUGGCACGCUCGAGUUCGGGAGAGGAUGGUGGAAUUCCCGGUGUAGCGGUGAAAUGCGUAGAGAUCGGGAGGAACAUCAGUGGCGAAGGCGGCCAUCUGGGACAACACUGACGCUGAAGCACGAAAGCGUGGGGAGCAAACAGGA
Molecule: ribosomal RNA, 253 nt
Filed under: uncultured prokaryote
Description: partial 16S ribosomal RNA
Rfam family: Bacterial small subunit ribosomal RNA
Source: RNAcentral